This 261-nucleotide long non-coding RNA is filed under the name Hordeum vulgare. RNAcentral describes it as "long non-coding RNA (HVUL_LNC017845)". The record is from RNAcentral. Lineage: Eukaryota; Viridiplantae; Streptophyta; Magnoliopsida; Poales; Poaceae.
CCUGCCCAUUGGGCCUCCUCCGUUGGUACGUUGUACCGGUCAUAACAUCUCUCCCCGCCUUCUCAAACAGCUCGUCUUCGAGCUGAACAUCUGGAAACUGCUGGCGGAAAUCGUCGAGCUUCUCCCAAGUCGCUUCCUCCUCUGGCAGGCCGGUCCAUUGUACCAAGACAUGCCAGACGCCGCGACGCUGCUGCGCCUGUAGCACCUUCGCCACCUGUGCGGAAGCUGGAAGGAGGCGGCCAUCCGAAAUAGGAGGAAGGG